GGGCACAUGGUGGCUUAGUGUUUAGCACGUUCGCCUCACACCUCUAGGGUCGGGGGUUCGAUUUCCACUGUGGCCC
This is a non-coding RNA of Ameiurus melas (black bullhead), 76 nucleotides long. Lineage: Eukaryota; Metazoa; Chordata; Actinopteri; Siluriformes; Ictaluridae. The record is from the annotation of a GenBank genome assembly.